RNAcentral lists this long non-coding RNA (560 nucleotides) under Mus spicilegus (steppe mouse). RNAcentral describes it as "lncRNA (ENSMSIG00000032113.1)". Lineage: Eukaryota; Metazoa; Chordata; Mammalia; Rodentia; Muridae. The record is from RNAcentral.
CAGGAUGAUGUCUGCAGCACACAGCUUAAGAACUAGAGCAGUCCUCCACCAUUGGUGAGAAAGAAAGAAAGAAAGAAAGAAAGAAAGAAAGAAAGAAAGAAAGAAAGAAAGAAAGAAAGAGAAAUGAAAGGAAAAAAUCCAAAACAAAAUGAAUGAGCAGCUGCAGAAGGCAGCGGGCUCUCUAGCCUCCUAUCUUCCUUGUGCAACCUAUGCAUCUUCUAGAAGUACACAGAGGACCAAAGCUGUGUCCCCAGUUUGUGUUCCCAAGCUUGUCUGUCCUCAGGAGAGAGCAUUCUGCCAUUAAUGUUUUACUUGUUCAAGCCACUAGAAGACAAUACACGCACAACCACCAACUCUGUCGCAAAUAGCUGCCGAUGGUCAUCAGGACAGUGGCCAGGUUUAUGACACACAUCAAGACAGUAGAUAUGCCUCCAGGCCCUGCACAUGCAUGUACUGAGCAUCUCUCUGUGUGUACCUCUUCUGCCCUUGUGUCCACCUGUCAUCUGACUGUAGACAAUGACAGUGUCAUGCCACCUGGUGACGCUACUUUGGAGGCCUAA